This is a long non-coding RNA of Cygnus olor (mute swan), 3884 nucleotides long. RefSeq lists it as uncharacterized. The record is from RefSeq and is a predicted model, not a curated record. Lineage: Eukaryota; Metazoa; Chordata; Aves; Anseriformes; Anatidae. The transcript is spliced from 3 exons.
AUGCUGGGCUAUAGCCUUUCUGAUUUUUUCCCUCAUAUGCCAGCAGCUUCCUUGUACUCUCCCCGAGUUGGCUGCCCCUUCUUCCACCAGGCAUAAACUCUUUUUCUCCUGGACACUCAGCAAAAGUCCCCCGUUUGGCCACGCCAGUCUUCUUCCCCACCGGCUCAUCUUAUGGCACAUGGGGUCAGCCUGCUCCUGCACCUUGAAGACUUCCUUCCCGAGGAGCAUCCAGCCUUCCUGGUCCCCUCUGCCCUUCAGGACUGACUCCCAGGGGACCCUCCCUACCAGCGUCCUGAACAGUUCAGUCUGCCCUCUGGAAGUCCGAGGCAGCGGUUUUUACCGACGUGGAUCAGCGGUGCUCUGCCCCCAUCCCCCUCUUGGUUGCACCCUCUGUAGACUGUCAGCUCCCCAGUACUUCGCCCUCUCUUCUGACUGGGGGCCUGUUGAGCAGACAUGACCAGCUGCAGGUUAUUCGAGAUGUCUGAGUUGUGAGGCUGCCUGUUCCACUGAAAACACCCGCUUAGCUAUCGUACUUGCUUGAGGCAGUCUGACCUUUUGGCCACUGCCGUGAAAGGGAAACCAGGAAGCAACCUGAACAGCUUUUAAAGCCAGACAGUGGCUUCUGCGUCCUCUCCCCUGUGAUGCUGCCUCUGCAACUCACUGAUGAGGGAAGCGUGUGCCCUCUCCAGCUGACUGCAGGCUGUGAAGUUCCCUGACAUAGCAGCAGCCUUCAGAAGUUGCUUGAGCUCUCUCUCUGCCCAUUCCACCAGGUGCUUGUGAGCUGGUUUCUGUGCUAGGUAGGUGCGUGGAAACAUGCUCUGGUUACCACUGGGAGCAGCUGCCUUAGCUGCGCUGAGAGAUCUCGGUCAGCAUGGUGUGACCAUCAGUCCUUGACCUCUGUCAUUUGGUAGUGCAGUUUCUUGUCUUUAAGUGGUUUUGAAAAGAGGCAGAGGAAAUAUGAAGGGUAACAGAAGUACUGGAGGACUACAGAGGAGGCUCUGUUUUCUGCCUGGAGAACGCAAAGCAUGGAUACUUUCAGCAUAAUAGUUUUAUUGUGGUCCCAGCUUCUGGACAUGUGUUGUCCUCCCCAGGCUUGUGCUGGAAACAGCAAGAGCAGCCAGCUGAUCACUGCUGGUCACAUGAGGCAGCACUGGUGUAAAAUUCAGCUCAUCUGAUCGGUGAGCUUAUUAAGGUACUGAUAGCUUGGCACUUCUCAAAAGAGGAGGCGUGAAAAAGUAAACGGCAAACUUUCAUUUCCUGCAGAGCUUCCUGCCCUGCUUUUCUUCUAGGGUCACAAAGCACAGCGAUCUUGUGACAUGCUUUCCAAAAUCUCUUUGAGGAUCUGAAUUUCUCUAAGAUGUUAUUGCUAGGGAGAAAAGACCAGAAAUUUAAGCAGAAAAAAAAGGAUCAAGGGAGGAGAGUGUCGUUUGUCCCUAAGGAGAUGUAUUCAGGUCAGUUCACAAUGAUCCUAAGUUUUGAUUAGAUUAAUUAAACUCCUGACAGUUCCCAACAGGGCUGUCUUUUAUCUUGAGCAUCUGGCGUGCACAGCAGCCACUGACCCAGCUCGCUUGGUGUGUCUGCAAGACUGGCAACAGCUCCGUUCUUCUGUACCCGCCUGGGGUAACAGAAAUGUUCUGUACCUAAGCUUGAUGGGAAGAUGAGCGUGGUGGUGAUGAGUGUCGUGUCUGGUUUAGACGCCUGUCCAUAUCCUAAACACUGCCUAACGCUAAAACAACUGGGGGUGCUCUUUCUACAACCUAGUUGUCUCAGUUAGGAUUUCUUUCUUCAGAGACUGACUGGGGGAGGAACAAUUGGCGUUUCAAACUAAUUUCAGCUUUCAAAGCCUAGCCAUUUUCUACCAUCUUGCCCUAUCUUCUAGAGACCUGGUUAAUGUUGGAAGCCUUCAAUAAGACCCAAGACUGUUAGCAAUUAGAGGAAACCAAGUCACAGUGCUCUCUGUAAAACUUUUCAUUUGGCAGGUGAUGUUUAGAGCAGGUGGGCAGCUUGUUGGCAGGAAAAGAAAUCUAGAUAUAAAGAUGUUUUCUGCUCAUCUUACUUUGCCAUUUAUUCCUGCCCUCGUCCAUUUCAUAGCAGAAACUUGUCUUGUCUCUGGAUGGUGCUUUGCUCUGAAGGUACUGCUGCAGGGGGAAAUAUUUCUCUGUGGGGUCUGAGGUCCCACAUCCUUCUGUUCUCCUUCCCAGCAGCCCAACUGGAGCUGGUGAGGAAUGUAGGGGGAUAACCAGAGCAAGGAUUACAAGCAAUGUGGAGGUUGGAGCUUUAAAUAUAGAGACAGAAGAGUGGCAGGCUGUUUUCUAAUCAGUCAGGAAACCAAGAGACAUGCAUUGCCCAAGAAAACACAGGCCUUUCGUGUUCACCCAGAGAGUGCUGACUGCCAGCAGCAGGAGCUGUAUCCAACCUCAGGCUUGCAAGCAAUGUGCUGCUUCCUUUCCGAAUGGAAAAAUCAGCUGAGUUUCCUUUCCAGAGCUAGUUGUAAAGGUUUCAGCAGAGCGUGGGAGGUAAAAGGUGUAAACAGGCCCAGAGCUGCAUGCAGUGCCGUGAGAGACGUCUGCUGAGCCCCAGACGAGCUGACUUCAGCCUCUGUCGAUCUCGCUAGGGCCUGGCAAGCUCCAGGAGUGGCGUUGCUCAUGCUGGUGAGGAGCCUGCUCUGUCUGAGUGCUCGUGCCUGUUUGCUGCCGGAUGGGGAGCGCGGAAGAGGAGAGCUGCUGCCCCUCAGGGGUUUUUGUGCUUGCAGCGGUCCGCAGCUGUCUCCCCAAGCGGAGAAGCAAACAUGUGGGCACGUGUCCCAGUGGCAAGGGAGAGACCUAGGCUCUGGGGUCUGCGCCGGGCUCUGCCCUCGGCUUGCUGGGGUUAAACCAGCCAGGUUGGAGCCCUUGGCUGCGUAUUUCCUUCUGGGUGCUGAGUCAGGCUGCGCCCCACUGCCCCGAGGUAAGGUUUCUUCGCCUUCAUUGCUGGAAGGAGGAAGCUCCUCGUGCUGCCUGAGCUUGCGCAAUGCCCCAGCAAGCAGCGAGCCUGGCUUCCUUUUCAGAAGUCUGUUCUUGUUACAGACAACCCAUUAAUCAAAGGUGCUAAUGACAAGCAAGACCAUCAGACGGUAAUUUGGCAAAACCUGCAGGAAGAGCUCACGAAGGUGGCAUUGCAGACAUUCGUGUAGCAGGAAAGGCGGCAGCACGAUGUGCUGGCUGGAGAGCUUAGCACUUAGCCAGCUGAGUCAGCCUGCGUGCCUGGAGUCAGGCUCGCUUAAAAACAUUUAAAACCAUUUUUGGUUAUGGAAGGAAACGGGCUGUCCGAGCAGUAGACAGUAAGUUCAGUGUGUGAGCGUUCCCAUUUAAUAAGAAUUUGUUUAGCGUUAGAGCUUGGGGUCGGAGCCUGAGCGUUGGGCACCUCAGACCGAGGACCCGGUCUGGGACCUGGCGCACGCUCAGACUCUGGCCAAGCAGCCAGGUCUGGCUGCAGGAUACUGGACUCGAUCCUGUCGGGAAGAAUUGUCUCCAAAUCCUCUUACAGGCAAAUGUAGCAGUUUUUAUACUGGACUAAACCAUCCCUGUUCAAUACCUCAUCUCCAGCUGUGGCCAAUUCUUAAUGCUUGAGAGGAAAACAAAAAUCCCUGAAUAAUUUAGCUAGCCAGCAGUGUAGUGCCAUGCAGUGGGGUCAGGGGGUAUCUUUUAACUGAAGUGCUCGUAAUUGCCUGGAGUUUGUUGGAGUUUUUUAUGGAUAAUUAACUACAAAUGUUGUUGGCCAGGAAUUUAUUUGGUCUUUUUAAAAUCAAGUUGUUGAUUUUAUUUAUUUUUUUUUAUAUUCUCCUUGCAGUAAAUACAAACUAAUCCAUGAGCUUGGGUUAAAUGUGCCUGAGUUUAUUUUCUCUG